ACACCGGCAGCUCGAGUGGUAGCCAGUUUUAUUGGGCCUAAAGCGUCCGUAGCCGGCUUAUUAAGUCUUUGGUGAAAUCCUGUAGCUUAACUAUGGGAAUUGCUUGAGAUACUAGUAGGCUUGAGGUCGGGAGAGGUUAGCGGUACUCCCAGGGUAGGGGUGAAAUCCUGUAAUCCUGGGAGGACCACCUGUGGCGAAGGCGGCUAACUGGAACGAUCCUGACGGUGAGGGACGAAAGCCAGGGGCGCGAACCGGAUUAGAUACCCGGGUAGUCCUGGCUGUAAACGAUGUGGACUUAGUGUUGGAAUGGCUUUGAGCUAUUUCAGUGCCGAAGGGAAGCUGUUAAGUCCACCGCCUGGGAAGUACGGUCGCAAGACUGAA
Molecule: ribosomal RNA, 381 nt
Filed under: uncultured archaeon
Lineage: Archaea
Description: bacterial SSU rRNA
Rfam family: Archaeal small subunit ribosomal RNA
Source: RNAcentral